This 448-nucleotide ribosomal RNA is filed under the name uncultured bacterium. Its description in RNAcentral is "bacterial SSU rRNA". It matches the Rfam family "Bacterial small subunit ribosomal RNA", at positions 335 to 774 of the family's 1533-position model. The record is from RNAcentral.
ACUCCUACGGGAGGGCAGCAGUGGGGAAUGAUUGGACAAUGGGGGCAACCCUGAUCCAGCGAUGCCGCGUGUGUGAAGAAGGCCUUCGGGUUGUAAAGCACUUUCAGUCGUGAGGAAGGUAGUGUAGUUAACACCUGCACUAUUUGACGUUACCUACAGAAGAAGCACCGGCUAACUCCGUGCCAGCAGCCGCGGUAAUACGGAGGGUGCGAGCGUUAAUCGGAAUUACUGGGCGUAAAGCGCAUGCAGGUGGUUUGUUAAGUCAGAUGUGAAAGCCCGGGGCUCAACCUCGGAAUUGCAUUUGAAACUGGCAGACUAGAGUACUGUAGAGGGGGGUAGAAUUUCAGGUGUAGCGGUGAAAUGCGUAGAGAUCUGAAGGAAUACCGGUGGCGAAGGCGGCCCCCUGGACAGAUACUGACACUCAGAUGCGAAAGCGUGGGAGCAAACA